UUUUAUCAUCAACACACCUAUACGAACAUAAAGAUGUUUGUCAUGAAUGUCAAAUGUUAUAUUAGUGUUAAUUUAGCAUGUUUGUUUAAAUUGCUGGUCUUCAUGUCACUCUAGUCCUUGGUUUUCUCAUGCCACCGCAUAAUCAACACGAUGUCCAUCUAGUUCUUUAAUAAAUAAUAAAAGGUUUCAAAUAGAAGUAGAAACAUCUACAAAUAAAAAAUAAUUAUCAGCUCCAAAGAAAAACAACUAAUGACUUGUUCCGAAAUUAUGUUUUUAACCAUAAAAUUUAGUUAAUCAAGGAAACACGGUAGAGAGAGGUUAUGGAAGAAUAAUCUAUCUCAUAAUUCCUCGACCGUGAUAUCCUUGAUUAAAAAAAUUCCAUGGACAAAUUAAAAUCACCACUUCAUUGUGUAGUUGAAACAAGAUCUACAAAAAGAAUGUUAUUUAUCUUCUCUCUGCCCAAUUAGCAUUUUAUAGAUCCAUAAAGUUUAAGAAAGUAUCAUUUUUUGAUAUAAAUGAAUUUCAUAAAAUUAAAAUGAUAUUAUAAUUUAAAAAGGCACAAUCUUUCUUUUAAAUAUGUAAAUGUAGUAAAAUUAUAGUCAAGUAAAAAAUAAUCAUGUUUUAUUAAAAUCAUUUAAAUUUUUUAGAUUUUAAAAAAAAAUGUUUUUUAGAUACUUUAAUAUUUUUUCCAGAUUAAGUUAAAGAUUGACCAAGAAGUAAAGAAAUGGAGGUUUUGGUAAAGUAGAAAAUAAAAGGAGAUUUGUUUUUCUUUUUAACAUAAAUACUAUUUUUUUUAUGAGAAACUCCUAUUGAUUUUUAAAUCUUGUAAAGGAAUCUUUCAUUCUCAACACAAAUUCAAUAAAUAAAAUAGUAGGUAAUAACCAACUAUUGUUAAUUAUAUCACUGAGUAAGUCAUAUCGAAUUCAUUAGAGAUUAUGGCGGGUGAUAUUCAACAUGACACAUUAAGGUCUCAGAUUAAUAAUGAUUCCUAUGUUUGUAAAAACCAACUAUUGUUACAUAACAUAUGUAUACAUGUAAUAGUAUGUUGUUUAAGGAUUUAAUUCUUAAAGCAAGUUUUAUUAUAUUUCUAAAUUUCCUAAUGCAUCGAGUACUAAAGUGGACAUCUUAAAAUUUAUUCGCGACAUAUAUUUGAAUGUGUUACAUUUAUGAUAUUUUAAAUGACAAAUAUGGCGUGGUUUGUUAAAUAUUUGAAAAAUGAAACCAAACACUUAACAAGUGAAGUGUAAAAACGUAUCCUCCUGUAACAUUUGAAAUUUUUUCUUGUAUGCAUAAUCUCGAAUUUAGACUAACGACAAUUUUUAUUUCUAAUAUAAAUAAUCUCAAUUAUAAUUUUAUUUUGAAGAUUGAUGUUUAUGAUAUAAAUGCUGGCAAAUUAGAAAUAUGUCAUAUAAAAUGGCGACGACGACUAUAUUUAUUAAUUUUGUUUAUAAGAUUGGAACUUUGUCCGUUAAAGUUCCGAAGCUAAAGUCUUACCAUUUAAAACCAUAUAUAUGAUGUUUUUACCCUAAAAGAUAUAUUUGACAUUUUUUUUAUUAACUUGGUUCUCCAUAUAUUACUCAGAUGACAAUAAGAAAUACACAAAUCUAUGUCUCUAAUUAUAUUUUAUCAUCAACACACCUAUACGAACAUAAAGAUGUUUGUCAUGAAUGUCCAAAUGUUAUAUUAGUGUUAAUUUAGCAUGUUUGUUUAAAUUGCUGGUCUUCAUGUCACUCUAGUCCUUGGUUUUCUCAUGCCACCGCAUAAUCAACAGAUGUCCAUCUAGUUCUUUAUAAAUAAUAAAAGGUUUCAAAUAGAAGUAGAAACAUCUACAAAUAAAAAUAAAUUAUCAGCUCCAAAGAAAAAACAACUAAUGACUUG
RNAcentral lists this long non-coding RNA (1878 nucleotides) under Lathyrus oleraceus (garden pea). RNAcentral describes it as "Pisum sativum (pea) long non-coding RNA (PSAT_LNC012435)". Lineage: Eukaryota; Viridiplantae; Streptophyta; Magnoliopsida; Fabales; Fabaceae. The record is from RNAcentral.